GUCCAUGGCCAUACUACUCUGAAUGUGCCUGAUCUCAUCUGAUCUCAGAAGCUAAGCAGGGUUGGGCCUGGCUAGUACUUGGAUGGGAGAGAGGGUCCACAAGCUGGUCUUUGCCA
Ribosomal RNA from Panthera pardus (leopard), 116 nucleotides. The record is from Ensembl. NCBI's taxonomy places the organism in Eukaryota, Metazoa, Chordata, Mammalia, Carnivora, Felidae.